Molecule: ribosomal RNA, 426 nt
Filed under: uncultured bacterium
Lineage: Bacteria
Description: bacterial SSU rRNA
Rfam family: Bacterial small subunit ribosomal RNA
Source: RNAcentral
GUGGGGAAUAUUGGACAAUGGGCGCAAGCCUGAUCCAGCCAUGCCGCGUGAGUGAUGAAGGCCUUAGGGUUGUAAAGCUCUUUUACCAGGGAAGAUAAUGACGGUACCUGGAGAAUAAGCCCCGGCUAACUUCGUGCCAGCAGCCGCGGUAAUACGAAGGGGGCUAGCGUUGCUCGGAAUCACUGGGCGUAAAGCGCACGUAGGUGGGUCAUUAAGUCAGGGGUGAAAUCCUGGAGCUCAACUCCAGAACUGCCUUUGAUACUGAUGAUCUUCGAGUCCGGGAGAGGUGGGUGGAACUGCGAGUGUAGAGGUGAAAUUCGUAGAUAUUCGCAAGAACACCAGUGGCGAAGGCGGCUCACUGGCCCGGUACUGACACUGAGGUGCGAAAGCGUGGGGAGCAAACAGGAUUAGAUACCCUUGUAGUCC